GCCUCCGUAGCUCAGGGGAUAGAGCGUUGGUUUCCGGUACCAAAGGCCGCUGGUUCGAUUCCAGUCGGGGGCACCA
RNAcentral lists this transfer RNA (76 nucleotides) under Microbacterium pumilum. Its description in RNAcentral is "tRNA-Arg". It matches the Rfam family "tRNA". From Rfam's summary of the family: Transfer RNA (tRNA) molecules are approximately 80 nucleotides in length. Their secondary structure includes four short double-helical elements and three loops (D, anti-codon, and T loops). RNAcentral also lists the same sequence under 3 other names. The record is from RNAcentral. Lineage: Bacteria; Bacillati; Actinomycetota; Actinomycetes; Micrococcales; Microbacteriaceae.